GUGUUACCAACAAAUGAUUCAUUAACAAAAGCAAUGGAGCAGACUGUUUAGGCUCUUGUGGUUGUAAUAACAUCCAUAACUGCAAGUUUGUCAUUAAUUUAUUUUCACAGGUCUAGAUGAUCACAUUUGACUUUGUCAUUUAAAUGAGGUGGACUUGCAAACUUUGCGCUCUUUGGGGUAAAUUGCUGUCCACUACAUAUACACAGAAUCUGCACAGUAUUUCAGAUCUAAAAAGGGAGUAUGUAAUGGACUUGCUGGCUUUAAUGUAAAAAGCCUGUUGUGUAACUUUAAUGAGGCAGUUGGACUAAAACAGUGUUGCUCAUCAAGGUAAACAUCUGAGGAAUAAGGAAACUGUUACUUGUCCUUUUACUCAGUGUUCUUUUAAUCGCACGUUUACUAAAGUUUUACAUCACAUAAGUCAUUUUCACAAUCAUUCUACUUUAAAAGAUUUCAAGACAGAGCUUAUUGUUCUCUGAACUUCUUGUUUGCUGAACGGCAGGUAAAGUGCAUCUUUUUAUUUGUUUGCUUUUGUGUGUUUGUGUUUUCUCUAAUGGGCCUCAGAUGACCGUUUGCUUAAAUUUGGGUCUCAAAGAAUCUUUUUUUAAUUCUGCCUGUACUCUCCACCCCUCUUCUUCUAUUGCUCAGGUUGAAGCAGAAUUUGCCCGUCUUACAUCUGUUGACCUGAAAGGGUUCCUUUUUGCUGUGCUUGACCAUUAUGGAGAGGUUCGUGGAGCUGUACAAAAUCAAGAGCAGCAUAGAAGGGCUAACUAGGCUCAUAAGAUGCUUCGGAGAUGAUAGCCCUACACAAAGGAAGAGGACAGAGGACCUCAUUUUCUAAAGGAAGAUCCCUCACACACUUUCAAGACUGUGAAGCCGACAGGUAUUGAAGACACGUUUUCUAAGAGGACGAAAGUUGGCAUUGCGAUGGUGAAAGAAGAAGACAUCGAUGUGUUGGUUGUCCUUGAGGCAGCAGUAAUCCUGUCUAAUCUGAGGGAUGUCUCAAGUGCCAUUUCCAUGC
Pelmatolapia mariae (spotted tilapia) is the source of this 1018-nucleotide long non-coding RNA. RefSeq lists it as uncharacterized. NCBI's taxonomy places the organism in Eukaryota, Metazoa, Chordata, Actinopteri, Cichliformes, Cichlidae. The record is from RefSeq and is a predicted model, not a curated record. The transcript is spliced from 3 exons.